AGUGAACGCUGGCGGUAGGCCUAACACAUGCAAGUCGAACGGCAGCACAGUAAGAGCUUGCUCUUACGGGUGGCGAGUGGCGGACGGGUGAGGAAUACAUUGGAAUCUACUUUUUCGUGGGGGAUAACGUAGGGAAACUUACGCUAAUACCGCAUACGACCUACGGGUGAAAGCAGGGGAUCUUCGGACCUUGCGCGAUUGAAUGAGCCGAUGUCGGAUUAGCUAGUUGGCGGGGUAAAGGCCCACCAAGGCGACGACCCGUAGCUGGUCUGAGAGGAUGAUCAGCCACACUGGAACUGAGACACGGUCCAGACUCCUACGGGAGGCAGCAGUGGGGAAUAUUGGACAAUGGGCGCAAGCCUGAUCCAGCCAUACCGCGUGGGUGAAGAAGGCCUUCGGGUUGUAAAGCCCUUUUGUUGGGAAAGAAAAGCAGCAGGUUAAUACCCCGCUGUUCUGACGGUACCCAAAGAAUAAGCACCGGCUAACUUCGUG
This 492-nucleotide ribosomal RNA is filed under the name uncultured bacterium. RNAcentral's name for it is "partial 16S ribosomal RNA". It matches the Rfam family "Bacterial small subunit ribosomal RNA", at positions 29 to 507 of the family's 1533-position model. The record is from RNAcentral.